AAUGCAAAUGAUUAUUCACAGCAGCUUUUUUUGGGGGGGACCACAGUAACAUUUGUUCAACUGUAUUCAUUACACUUGAGCUAUAAAAAGCAGCAAAUUAAGGCUCAACAUGAAGACACAUAACAUAAAAUCAAAAUGUGACAGCAGAAAUGGUUCAGUAUCCACCCACCACUUGCACAAGGAAAUGAGGAAUAGUGUCUUGCUUCUUCCAGAAAGACUAUCACAGUGAUCCUUCCUAACAUGCUUUAAAGUCCAGUCUCUACUCCCUUUGAACCCUUUACUAUUUUGCAAGUCAUAAUGCUUGUUUUUUCCCUACAAUUGUGAAGGAGGAUGCAAUCCGGUUCAGUCAGUUCAGUCAGAAGGGAAAGGACUGUGGUUCCUGCCCUCCUCUGAUGGUGCACUGAGCACAAAACCUUUGCAGAAGUGGACUAGCACAAAAACAAGGGAAAAUGUUAUUAUACUUGCCUGCUUAAAUAAUAAUUUUCUUAUGCAGUAUAAAAAAACUACAUGCACAUUUAAUUAACUUGUUUGCAGAUAUAGAUGAAUAGAGAAUAUGCAUUCAGUAUGCACUUUCUUUCAUUAAAAAAUCCUUGCUGUCUGCCUAGUUUUUGACAGAUGACCUGAGUGCACAUGUUCAGGGAUAAAGAUCCAGAAACUUACUUCCCCAGCAGGGGCCACUUUCUUUCAGUCUGCCAGAUCUUUUAUUAUACACGGAUCAGGACUGCAAGAUCCAUGAGAAAAACCAUCCUGGAAUGUAUUUGGAGGAAAAAAUCAAAAGUUUAUAAGUGAAAUGCUCUGUUACCACACUGAAGGAAUGGGGGAAUGGGACGUAGUAGUACAAGAGUACCACUCACCAAAAGUAAAGCAGCUCAAAACCUCACAACAUAGCAAAUGAACUAUUAGGUACACCUGACUUGAUGAUUAUAUCUGUGCUGCGGUCUGGACCAAAAAAAAACCUGUUUGUCCUCCUGUGAUUACUUCUGAUGUACUUUAGCACUGUCACAUCCCCCUGGUUUUGCUGUUUUCAUUACUCCUGACAGAACGUUUGGGUAAGUGCAAGAAGAGAGAGGGGAUAGUAUAGCGGUUUGACAGCUCUAAUUAUGAAUAUUUAAGAGCUGUUUGAAUGUGCUCUCUUUUAUCACCUAAUUUCCUAUCAAUGACAGCUUUGGAAGCACUUGUCUCAUUUUUCAAAUCAAAGCUUCCUCAAGCAAAAUGCUUGGAGACUGAAUAGCUUAUGCAUACUAUUAAUCACAGGGGGUGGGAAAAGAUCCAUCAAGUGUUUCAGAUAGUUUGAGAGUGCUCCAUCCUUGUAGAGCUUUCACCUCCCAUUUCUCACAGAUGAGUGUAUUUGCCUCCUGUGAAUGAUCUUUGUGAUUCUUCCUCAUCCAGAUUUAUCUUCCUUCAAAAAUGCGUCAGUUGAUGCCUGGAUAUUUAAAAACAGACUAACUUCUAAUUGGGGUUAGUCAUAGAUAGAAGGGAAGAGUAGUCACGUGUUGUUUUCUUAAAGGAGGAUACCUCUUGUUCUGCUUCCAAGGGGUCAACUUUCAUCAAAGAAAGGUUACAUAUUAAAUGGAAAUGAGUAACUGCUCCAACUUUGAAAUGAGCUUUCUUGAUUUGGGCCAGAAAGAACAUUGUUGUCUGAUGCUUAUUCUGUGAUUACCGUUACUUUCUACACAUGAGAUUGACUUUGGUCAUGAUGGCAAAAUGUUCCCCAAUUAACUUUAUCAUAGUUUUGUGCUUUUUGUGUAUACUGAAAUGUCUUCUCCUUAUUAGACAGGAUUAACCAGAAUCUCCCCGAUAAUGACAUUUAAAUUCUGCAGGACGUGCAUAAUGGAUGGAGCUGGAGAAGGGGAAUAUCUUCACAGAUGAAGGUGGACUCUGCCUGGUAAUAGCCGAGCUAGCCCUUGGCCUUCUGGGAGCCUUGUGAUGACAGAGCAGCACGAUAACAUUCCCAGUUUUUGAAGGAGUCUGUGUCUGUAGUGCUUGUUCCCUCCCGUUUUGUUGUGAAUUUACAUUCCAUAUGUUACUGAAAGAUGAGAUGAGAGAGAAAUGACAAAAGUCAAUACUUCACUGAACAACAUCUCAUGGUAUUUCCUACUAUUGCUAGAGGGGAAUAUUAUUCCUCCAGGUCUCAUCAAAGUGAUAGUGUAGCAAGAACAGCCAGUCUCCAGCCUGGAGAUGUGCGGGAUUCAAUAAAGUGAUGUUUUUCUUUCCUUGUUAGAUUGAG
Molecule: long non-coding RNA, 2227 nt
Filed under: Anser cygnoides (Swan goose)
Lineage: Eukaryota; Metazoa; Chordata; Aves; Anseriformes; Anatidae
Description: lncRNA (ENSACDG00005010527.1)
Source: RNAcentral